UACGUAGGGUGCAAGCGUUGUCCGGAAUUAUUGGGCGUAAAGAGCUCGUAGGCGGUUUGUUGCGUCGGCUGUGAAAACCCGAGGCUCAACCUCGGGCCUGCAGUCGAUACGGGCAAACUAGAGUACUGCAGGGGAGACUGGAAUUCCUGGUGUAGCGGUGAAAUGCGCAGAUAUCAGGAGGAACACCGAUGGCGAAGGCAGGUCUCUGGGCCACUACUGACGCUGAGAAGCGAAAGCAUGGGGAGCGAACAGG
Molecule: ribosomal RNA, 253 nt
Filed under: uncultured bacterium
Lineage: Bacteria
Description: partial 16S ribosomal RNA
Rfam family: Bacterial small subunit ribosomal RNA
Source: RNAcentral